RNAcentral lists this ribosomal RNA (684 nucleotides) under uncultured Cellvibrio sp. RNAcentral describes it as "bacterial SSU rRNA". It matches the Rfam family "Bacterial small subunit ribosomal RNA", at positions 51 to 733 of the family's 1533-position model. Lineage: Bacteria; Pseudomonadati; Pseudomonadota; Gammaproteobacteria; Cellvibrionales; Cellvibrionaceae. The record is from RNAcentral.
ACACAUGCAAGUCGAGCGCGAAAGUUCUUCGGAAUGAGUAAAGCGGCGGACGGGUGAGUAAUACAUGGGAAUCUGCCUGGUAGUGGGGGACAACGUUUCGAAAGGAACGCUAAUACCGCAUACGCCCUACGGGGGAAAGGGGGGGAUCUUCGGACCUCUCGCUAUCAGAUGAGCCCAUGUCGGAUUAGCUAGUUGGUGGGGUAAAGGCUCACCAAGGCGACGAUCCGUAACUGGUCUGAGAGGAUGAUCAGUCACACUGGAACUGAGACACGGUCCAGACUCCUACGGGAGGCAGCAGUGGGGAAUAUUGGACAAUGGGCGCAAGCCUGAUCCAGCCAUGCCGCGUGUGUGAAGAAGGCCUUAGGGUUGUAAAGCACUUUCAGUGGGGAGAAAGGUCAUUCACCUAAUACGUGAGUGAAUUGAUGUUACCCACAGAAGAAGCACCGGCUAACUCCGUGCCAGCAGCCGCGGUAAUACGGAGGGUGCAAGCGUUAAUCGGAAUUACUGGGCGUAAAGCGCACGUAGGUGGUUUGUUAAGCUAGCUGUGAAAUCCCCGGGCUCAACCUGGGCACUGCAGUUAGAACUGGCAAGCUAGAGUAGGGUAGAGGGGUGUGGAAUUCCAGGUGUAGCGGUGAAAUGCGUAGAUAUCUGGAGGAACAUCAGUGGCGAAGGCGACACCCUGGA